This 64-nucleotide transfer RNA is filed under the name Ceraphronidae sp. ZJUH_2016007. RNAcentral's name for it is "tRNA-Leu". The record is from RNAcentral. Lineage: Eukaryota; Metazoa; Arthropoda; Insecta; Hymenoptera; Ceraphronidae.
AUUACUUUGGCAGAAAAGUGUAGUAAAUUUAGAAUUUAUGUAUAAAUUAAAUAUUUAGGUAAUA